This 609-nucleotide ribosomal RNA is filed under the name Nocardiopsis tropica. Its description in RNAcentral is "bacterial SSU rRNA". It matches the Rfam family "Bacterial small subunit ribosomal RNA", at positions 82 to 692 of the family's 1533-position model. Lineage: Bacteria; Bacillati; Actinomycetota; Actinomycetes; Streptosporangiales; Nocardiopsidaceae. The record is from RNAcentral.
UCGGGGUACACGAGCGGCGAACGGGUGAGUAACACGUGAGCAACCUGCCCCCGACUCCGGGAUAAGCGGUGGAAACGCCGUCUAAUACCGGAUACGACACACCGCCUCAUGGCGGUGUGUGGAAAGUUUUUCGGUCGGGGAUGGGCUCGCGGCCUAUCAGCUUGUUGGUGGGGUAACGGCCUACCAAGGCGAUUACGGGUAGCCGGCCUGAGAGGGCGACCGGCCACACUGGGACUGAGACACGGCCCAGACUCCUGCGGGAGGCAGCAGUGGGGAAUAUUGCGCAAUGGGCGAAAGCCUGACGCAGCGACGCCGCGUGGGGGAUGACGGCCUUCGGGUUGUAAACCUCUUUUACCACCAACGCAGGCUCCCAGUUCUCUGGGGGUUGACGGUAGGUGGGGAAUAAGGACCGGCUAACUACGUGCCAGCAGCCGCGGUAAUACGUAGGGUCCGAGCGUUGUCCGGAAUUAUUGGGCGUAAAGAGCUCGUAGGCGGCGUGUCACGUCUGCUGUGAAAGACCGGGGCUUAACUCCGGUUCUGCAGUGGAUACGGGCAUGCUAGAGGUAGGUAGGGGAGACUGGAAUUCCUGGUGUAGCGGUGAAAUGCGCA